AAUAUUAUAAAUAAAUAAUUAAUAAAUAAAUUUUUAAUUAUUUUAUUUUAAUAUAUUAAUUUUUAUUUAUAUUAAUUUAUAUUU
This 84-nucleotide transfer RNA is filed under the name Zingiber officinale. RNAcentral's name for it is "tRNA-Lys". The record is from RNAcentral. Lineage: Eukaryota; Viridiplantae; Streptophyta; Magnoliopsida; Zingiberales; Zingiberaceae.